CCCAGCUCAACCUGCUGGUUCUCUCUUGGUGGCCAACUCACUCCCAGGUGGUAAUGGAGAGCUGCAACGCCUUGCUAUGGUUAUCCCUGAAAUCGGCCAAUUGCCUCAUUCUUCAACUCCAUCUUCUUCGACAAAACUUUUGAAUUCUGCAAAUUCUCCUCAGAUGCAUUCUCAAUCAACAUUGUCUGGUGAAUCACCAAGGGUACAGGUCAUUUCCCAUCUGCUUCCAGCACCUGAUUCUGGUGUUGCUUCAGUUAAUACUGUCACUGAUAUGAAAGGUCUCCAGAAUUUCGUUCAGCCUGUAACUAAUAAUAAUACUCU
This 321-nucleotide unclassified non-coding RNA is filed under the name Hevea brasiliensis (rubber tree). The record is from RNAcentral. Lineage: Eukaryota; Viridiplantae; Streptophyta; Magnoliopsida; Malpighiales; Euphorbiaceae.